Molecule: ribosomal RNA, 404 nt
Filed under: uncultured prokaryote
Also listed under: 1 other name
Description: bacterial SSU rRNA
Rfam family: Bacterial small subunit ribosomal RNA
Source: RNAcentral
UGGGGAAUAUUGCACAAUGGGGGAAACCCUGAUGCAGCGACGCCGCGUGAGUGAAGAAGUAUUUCGGUAUGUAAAGCUCUAUCAGCAGGGAAGAAAAUGACGGUACCUGACUAAGAAGCCCCGGCUAACUACGUGCCAGCAGCCGCGGUAAUACGUAGGGGGCAAGCGUUAUCCGGAUUUACUGGGUGUAAAGGGAGCGUAGGUGGUUCGGUAAGUCAGAUGUGAAAGCCCGGGGCUCAACCCCGGGACUGCAUUUGAAACUAUCGUACUAGAGUGCAGGAGAGGUAAGUGGAAUUCCCAGUGUAGCGGUGAAAUGCGUAGAGAUUGGGAGGAACACCAGUGGCGAAGGCGACUUACUGGGCCGUAACUGACGCUGAGGCGCGAAAGCGUGGGGAGCGAACAGG